RNAcentral lists this Y RNA (109 nucleotides) under Myripristis murdjan (pinecone soldierfish). RNAcentral's name for it is "Y RNA (ENSMMDG00005018111.1)". It matches the Rfam family "Y RNA". From Rfam's summary of the family: Y RNAs are components of the Ro ribonucleoprotein particle (Ro RNP), in association with Ro60 and La proteins. Lineage: Eukaryota; Metazoa; Chordata; Actinopteri; Holocentriformes; Holocentridae. The record is from Rfam by way of RNAcentral.
GACUGGUCCGAUUGUAGUGGGCUCCAAUGAUUGACAUUUCUCUCAGUCAGUUAACUACUAUCCUGUUUGUUACCCCUUCCCGCUCACUACGCAAUUUGACUAGUCUUUU